RNAcentral lists this long non-coding RNA (429 nucleotides) under Citrus maxima (pomelo). RNAcentral describes it as "long non-coding RNA (CMAX_LNC000008)". Lineage: Eukaryota; Viridiplantae; Streptophyta; Magnoliopsida; Sapindales; Rutaceae. The record is from RNAcentral.
GUGAGUAGGCCAGCGACGGACUGUAUUUGGCAGACUGAGGAUUGUAGCUUGGGGAUGUAGGACUAUAGGUUGGUGAAGUUGGGCUAUAACUUGGUGAAGUUGGACUAUAACCAGGAGAAGUGGGGCUAUAGGCUGGUGAAGUGGGGCUGUACGAUGGAGAAGUAGGGCUGUAUGACGGUGAGGUAGGGCUGUACGAAGGUGAUGUUGGGCUGUAGGAAGGAGAGGUUGGGCUGUACGAUGGUGAGGUGGGGCUGUAUGCAGGUGAGGUGGGGCUAUAUGCAGGUGAGGUGGGGCUAUAUGCCGGUGAGGUGGGGCUAUAGCUUGGUGAAGUUGGACUGUAACUGGGAGAAGUGGGGCUGUAACUUGGAGAGGUCGGGCUGUAGCUUGGGGAUGUUGGGCUGUAACUUGGGGAGGUUGGGCUAUAGCUUG